RNAcentral lists this ribosomal RNA (520 nucleotides) under uncultured bacterium. RNAcentral's name for it is "bacterial SSU rRNA". It matches the Rfam family "Bacterial small subunit ribosomal RNA", at positions 94 to 630 of the family's 1533-position model. The record is from RNAcentral.
AGUGGCGACCGGGUGAGUAACACGUGACUAACCUACCUUCGAGUGGGGGAUAACCUAGGGAAACCUGGGCUAAUACCGCAUAACAUCUUUGGAUCGGAAGAACUGAAGAUCAAAGGAGCAAUUCGCUUGAAGAGGGGGUCGCGGCUGAUUAGCUAGUUGGCGAGGUAAUGGCCCACCAAGGCUUUGAUCGGUAGCCGGCCUGAGAGGGCGCACGGCCACACUGGAACUGAAACACGGUCCAGACUCCUACGGGAGGCAGCAGUGGGGAAUUUUGCGCAAUGGGGGAAACCCUGACGCAGCAACGCCGCGUGGAGGAUGAAGUCCCUUGGGACGUAAACUCCUUUCGACCGGGACGAUUAUGACGGUACCGGUGGAAGAAGCCCCGGCUAACUUCGUGCCAGCAGCCGCGGUAAUACGAGGGGGGCAAGCGUUGUUCGGAAUUAUUGGGCGUAAAGGGCGCGUAGGCGGUGCGGUAAGUCACCUGUGAAAUCUCCGGGCUUAACUCGGAGUCUGCAGGCGA